GUGGGGAAUCUUAGACAAUGGGGGCAACCCUGAUCUAGCCAUGCCGCGUGAGUGAUGAAGGCCUUAGGGUUGUAAUGCUCUUUCAGUGGGGAAGAUAAUGACGGUACCCACAGAAGAAGCCCCGGCUAACUCCGUGCCAGCAGCCGCGGUAAUACGGAGGGGGCUAGCGUUGUUCGGAAUUACUGGGCGUAAAGCGCACGUAGGCGGAUCGGAAAGUUGGGGGUGAAAUCCCAGGGCUCAACCCUGGAACUGCCUUCAAAACUAUCGGUCUGGAGUCCGAGAGAGGUGAGUGGAAUUCCGAGUGGAGAGGUGAAAUUCGUAGAUAUUCGGAGGAACACCAGUGGCGAAGGCGGCUCACUGGCUCGGUACUGACGCUGAGGUGCGAAAGCGUGGGGAGCAAACAGGAUUAGAAACCCGUGUAGUCC
RNAcentral lists this ribosomal RNA (425 nucleotides) under uncultured bacterium. RNAcentral's name for it is "partial 16S ribosomal RNA". It matches the Rfam family "Bacterial small subunit ribosomal RNA", at positions 354 to 796 of the family's 1533-position model. The record is from RNAcentral.